CCUACGGGUGGCAGCAGUGAGGAAUAUUGGGCAAUGGGCGCAAGCCUGACCCAGCAACGCCGCGUGAAGGAAGAAGGCCCUCGGGUUGUAAACUUCUUUUGUCAGGGACGAAGCAAGUGACGGUACCUGACGAAUAAGCCACGGCUGACUACGUGCCAGCAGCCGCGGUAAUACGUAGGUGGCAGGCGUUAUGCGGAUUUACUGGGUGUAAAGGGCGUGUAGGCGGGGAAGCAAGUCAGAUGUUAAAUUCCAGGGCUCAACCCUGGAACUGCAUUUGAAACUGUUUUUCUUGAGUGAUGGAGAGGCAUGCGGAAUGCCGGGUGUAGCGGUGAAAUGCGUAGAUAUACGGAGGAACACCAGUGGCGAAGGCGGCCUGCUGGACAUUAACUGACGCUGAGGCGCGAAAGCGUGGGGAGCAAACAGGAUUAGAUACCCUUGUAGUC
This 443-nucleotide ribosomal RNA is filed under the name uncultured bacterium. RNAcentral describes it as "partial 16S ribosomal RNA". It matches the Rfam family "Bacterial small subunit ribosomal RNA", at positions 338 to 795 of the family's 1533-position model. The record is from RNAcentral.